GCCGCCUUAGCUCAGUGGUAGAGCAAUUGUUUUGUAAACAAUAGGUCCAGGGUUCAAGUCCCUGAGGCGGCUCCA
Molecule: transfer RNA, 75 nt
Filed under: Candidatus Levybacteria bacterium RIFCSPHIGHO2_02_FULL_39_36
Lineage: Bacteria; Candidatus Levyibacteriota
Also listed under: 1 other name
Description: tRNA-Thr
Rfam family: tRNA
About the family: Transfer RNA (tRNA) molecules are approximately 80 nucleotides in length.
Source: RNAcentral